GGCGUGCCUAUACAUGCAAGUCGAGCGAAUGGAUUAAGAGCUUGCUCUUAUGAAGUUAGCGGCGGACGGGUGAGUAACACGUGGGUAACCUGCCCAUAAGACUGGGAUAACUCCGGGAAACCGGGGCUAAUACCGGAUAACAUUUUGAACCGCAUGGUUCGAAAUUGAAAGGCGGCUUCGGCUGUCACUUAUGGAUGGACCCGCGUCGCAUUAGCUAGUUGGUGAGGUAACGGCUCACCAAGGCAACGAUGCGUAGCCGACCUGAGAGGGUGAUCGGCCACACUGGGACUGAGACACGGCNCCAGACUCCUACGGGAGGCAGCAGUAGGGAAUCUUCCGCAAUGGACGAAAGUCUGACGGAGCAACGCCGCGUGAGUGAUGAAGGCUUUCGGGUCGUAAAACUCUGUUGUUAGGGAAGAACAAGUGCUAGUUGAAUAAGCUGGCACCUUGACGGUACCUAACCAGAAAGCCACGGCUAACUACGUGCCAGCAGCCGCGGUAAUACGUAGGUGGCAAGCGUUAUCCGGAAUUAUUGGGCGUAAAGCGCGCGCAGGUGGUUUCUUAAGUCUGAUGUGAAAGCCCACGGCUCAACCGUGGAGGGUCAUUGGAAACUGGGAGACUUGAGUGCAGAANGAGGAAAGUGGAAUUCCAUGUGUAGCGGUGAAAUGCGUAGAGAUAUGGAGGAACACCAGUGGCGAAGGCGACUUUCUGGUCUGUAACUGACACUGAGGCGCGAAAGCGUGGGGAGCAAACAGGAUUAGAUACCCUGGUAGUCCACGCCGUAAACGAUGAGUGCUAAGUGUUAGAGGGUUUCCGCCCUUUAGUGCUGAAGUUAACGCAUUAAGCACUCCGCCUGGGGAGUACGGCCGCAAGGCUGAAACUCAAAGGAAUUGACGGGGGCCCGCACAAGCGGUGGAGCAUGUGGUUUAAUUUGAAGCAACGCGAAGAACCUUACCAGGUCUUGACAUCCUUUGACAACCCUAGAGAUAGGGCUUUUCCUUUGGGAGCAGAGUGACAGGUGGUGCAUGGUUGUUGUCAGCUCGUGUCGUGAGAUGUUGGGUUAAGUCCCGCAACGAGCGCAACCCUUGAUUUUAGUUGCCAUCAUUAAGUUGGGCCCUUUAAGGUGACUGCCGGUGACAAACCGGAGGAAGGUGGGGAAGACGUCAAAUCAUCAUGCCCCUUAUGACCUGGGCUACACACGUGCUNACAAUGGACGGUACAAAGAGCUGCAAGACCGCGAGGUGGAGCUAAUUUCAUAAAACCGUUUUCAGUUCGGAUUGUAGGCUGCAACUUGCCUACAUGAAGCUGGAAUCGCUAGUAAUCGCGGAUCAGCAUGCCGCGGUGAAUACGUUCCCGGGCCUUGUACACCCCGCCCGUCACCCCCCGAGAGUUUGUAACCCCCGAAGUCGGUGGGGUAACCUUUUGGAGCCAGCCGCCUAAGGUG
Molecule: ribosomal RNA, 1444 nt
Filed under: Bacillus pseudomycoides
Lineage: Bacteria; Bacillati; Bacillota; Bacilli; Caryophanales; Bacillaceae
Description: 16S ribosomal RNA
Rfam family: Bacterial small subunit ribosomal RNA
Source: RNAcentral